Molecule: ribosomal RNA, 253 nt
Filed under: uncultured bacterium
Lineage: Bacteria
Description: partial 16S ribosomal RNA
Rfam family: Bacterial small subunit ribosomal RNA
Source: RNAcentral
UACGUAGGGGGCAAGCGUUGUCCGGAAUCAUUGGGCGUAAAGCGCGUGUAGGCGGCUCGGUAAGUCUGCUGUGAAAGUCCAGGGCUCAACCCUGGGAUGCCGGUCGAUACUGCCGGACUAGAGUUCGGAAGAGGCGAGUGGAAUUCCCGGUGUAGCGGUGAAAUGCGCAGAUAUCGGGAGGAACACCUAUGGCGAAGGCAGCUCGCUGGGACGUUACUGACGCUGAGACGCGAAAGCGUGGGGAGCAAACAGG